AGUCUGAUGGAGCACGCCGCGUGAGUGAAGAAGGUUUUCGGAUCGUAAAGCUCUGUUGUUGGUGAAGAAGGAUAGAGGCAGUAACUGGUCUUUAUUUGACGGUAAUCAACCAGAAAGUCACGGCUAACUACGUGCCAGCAGCCGCGGUAAUACGUAGGUGGCAAGCGUUGUCCGGAUUUAUUGGGCGUAAAGCGAGCGCAGGCGGAAUGAUAAGUCUGAUGUGAAAGCCCACGGCUCAACCGUGGAACUGCAUCGGAAACUGUCAUUCUUGAGUGCAGAAGAGGAGAGUGGAACUCCAUGUGUAGCGGUGGAAUGCGUAGAUAUAUGGAAGAACACCAGUGGCGAAGGCGGCUCUCUGGUCUGCAACUGACGCUGAGGCUCGAAAGCAUGGGUAGCGAACAGGAUUAGAUACCCUGGUAGUCCAUGCCGUAAACGAUGAGCGCUAGGUGUUGGGGACUUUCCGGUCCUCAGUGCCGCAGCAAACGCAUUAAGCGCUCCGCCUGGGGAGUACGACCGCAAGGUUGAAACUCAAGAAAUUUGACGGGG
This 546-nucleotide ribosomal RNA is filed under the name Lactobacillus delbrueckii. RNAcentral's name for it is "bacterial SSU rRNA". It matches the Rfam family "Bacterial small subunit ribosomal RNA", at positions 380 to 918 of the family's 1533-position model. The record is from RNAcentral. Lineage: Bacteria; Bacillati; Bacillota; Bacilli; Lactobacillales; Lactobacillaceae.